Long non-coding RNA from Micropterus dolomieu (smallmouth bass), 328 nucleotides. RefSeq lists it as uncharacterized. The record is from RefSeq and is a predicted model, not a curated record. Lineage: Eukaryota; Metazoa; Chordata; Actinopteri; Centrarchiformes; Centrarchidae. The transcript is spliced from 4 exons.
CUUUAUUGCCAGCUGUUGUCCUGUGAAGCUGGUGCUGCUCCGUGGUCAGUCUCACCGGGAAAGAUGUACUGAGGUUCCACCAACCACAACCCUCCCUCGUGUGCUAGAUAGGUUUGAUUACUCUUCUACCCAGUGAGAAAGACAUUCAACUCCAGUGCACACUGAAGAAGAGGGAGAGUGAAAGCUUAAUACGGUGAGGCAAAGGUCGAAUGAAAGAAGAGAGGAGUGGACUGAAUUCCAGAUUUUGAACUAAAAACAUUCUUGGAAAGUUGGUGUUGCUGUCCUGAGGUUGUUGGGGACUUGUUACUGCAGAAAGCCUCAGGACCAG